This 686-nucleotide long non-coding RNA is filed under the name Olea europaea subsp. europaea. The record is from RNAcentral. Lineage: Eukaryota; Viridiplantae; Streptophyta; Magnoliopsida; Lamiales; Oleaceae.
AUCCGUCACCAAUUUAAGAUUUGUCCUGCACCUAAGGUUUAAAUUGAUUUGACGUCUCCAUGAGGCUAUUUGAUGUGACUUAUCAACUUUAUGCCAAAUCAACUCGGGGGAAACAAACUGUCCGCCCACUCUACAAGCGCGGCUGAUUGACGCCUAUGAGCAGACGCUUCAUACCGUCAGAUGUACACACGCGUUCCACAUCCAGCAGUUCAUACCACCUAUAAAUACCCAAGGUUUGGCAAGAGGCAAAGGUAAUGAAACUCUCAAUACAUAGCAUUCCAUAACAAGUUUAUAUAUUCUCCUCCCCCUUUAUUGAUUGAUUUGUGUAGCCCCUGGGCACUGUUCCGACCACCCAAACCUGACUUGACCGUCGGAGUGUAUACGGCCGCCACCACCCCCGUCGGUUCCGGCCGUGUGCGCCUGACCGUUUGUUCAUUUCGCAGGGAGGAAUACGUGGAGUAGCUAUAAGUUGGCCACGUGGAGGAGCCAUUUUUGGAGGUCAACAGUUUGGCGCCGUCUGUGGGAAACUCACUCCCCAUUUGAAGUUUUGCGUUCCCCAUCGGAGAAGACACCGGAAAACCGGCGACUGACCCUGAAAAGGGGGCAUUCUUGAAAAAGAACAAAGUCGAAUUACAAUCCAAGUUCUUACUACCCUUGAAAAGAGAGGUAGGAUGAGCUACAGCCGU